AUAAAAUCCAUGAAGCUCUUCAUUCACCAUAUCCAUGUUUUUGUUCCCAAAAAGGGUGAAAUGGUAACCAGGCUGACUGUUCAGUUCUACUUCAAUUUGUCCAUAUGGAGUUGCUAAAUAAGACUGGAACUCCCGAAGCAGCUACUGAAGAGAGAAUUCAGUGGUCGGUGCUCUUUUCAUUGUUCAGGAUCAUUAGGCUACUAGUAACAAUAAAGGCUUCAUAAGCUGCAUGGACUUUGUCUAGGCGUAGCUUAUCACACAUGCAGUAGGACUUCCCUCUCUACUGCCCUCGGAUUUUGUGAUUAAUGCUCUUCAUGGAACCAUGAUCAAAGUAAAAUGAAAGCCUCUAGUGGUCCAUCUAGUUUCUUUACUAAAGAAAACUGAGGCGCAAUUGAGACAAGUUGUCAAUGGCUACUCUUUAUUCAUGAUCAUGAUGUAAAUAUUUUGGGACAAACAGAAGAAAUCUCUUGGUGAGUUCCGCUGCAUUUAUGUUUCUGAUUUCAAGCAUGUGUGCUGGGGUUGUAUUCUGCUGUGGAUGAUGUCAUAUAAGUGAUUACCCCUUUGGGUUUUAUUA
Theobroma umbraticum is the source of this 574-nucleotide non-coding RNA. The record is from RefSeq and is a predicted model, not a curated record. Lineage: Eukaryota; Viridiplantae; Streptophyta; Magnoliopsida; Malvales; Malvaceae.